Molecule: ribosomal RNA, 253 nt
Filed under: uncultured bacterium
Lineage: Bacteria
Description: partial 16S ribosomal RNA
Rfam family: Bacterial small subunit ribosomal RNA
Source: RNAcentral
UACGAAGGGGGCUAGCGUUGCUCGGAAUCACUGGGCGUAAAGCGCACGUAGGCGGCUUUCUACGUCAGGGGUGAAAUCCUGGAGCUCAACUCCAGAACUGCCUUUGAUACUGGAGAGCUUGAGUCCGGGAGAGGUGAGUGGAACUCCGAGUGUAGAGGUGAAAUUCGUAGAUAUUCGGAAGAACACCAGUGGCGAAGGCGGCUCACUGGCCCGGUACUGACGCUGAUGUGCGAAAGCGUGGGGAGCAAACAGG